AGCAGCCGCGGUAAUUCCAGCUCCAAUAGCGUAUAUUAAAGUUGUUGCAGUUAAAAAGCUCGUAGUUGAAUUUCGGGAUCAAAGGAUCGGUCAUGCCUUGGUAUGUACUGGUUUUAUUGGUUCUCACCUUCUAAAGAACCAUAAUGUCAUUCAUUUGAUGUUAUGGGGAAUUAGGACUGUUACCUUGAAAAAAUUAGAGUGUUUAAAGCAGGCUUACGCUUGAAUACAUUAGCAUGGAAUAAUGAAAUAGGACAUCAGAUUCUAUUUUGUUGGUUUCUAGGAUCGAUGUAAUGAUUAAUAGGGAUAGUUGGGGGCAUUAGUAUUCAAUUGUCAGAGGUGAAAUUCUUGGAUUUAUUGAAGACUAACUACUGCGAAAGCAUUUGCCAAGGAUGUUUUCAUUAAUCAAGAACGAAAGUUAGGGGAUCGAAGACGAUCAGAUACCGUCGUAGUCUUAACCAUAAACUAUGCCGACUAGGGAUCGGAUGAUGUUAAUUUUAUAAUGA
RNAcentral lists this ribosomal RNA (503 nucleotides) under uncultured Glomus. Its description in RNAcentral is "SSU rRNA". It matches the Rfam family "Eukaryotic small subunit ribosomal RNA", at positions 569 to 1077 of the family's 1831-position model. The record is from RNAcentral. Lineage: Eukaryota; Fungi; Glomeromycota; Glomeromycetes; Glomerales; Glomeraceae.